UACGGAGGGUGCAAGCGUUAUCCGGAUUUAUUGGGUUUAAAGGGUGCGUAGGCGGGCUUGUAAGUCAGUGGUGAAAUCCCGAGGCUCAACCUCGGAACUGCCAUUGAUACUGCAGGUCUAGAGUACAGAUGAGGUAGGCGGAAUGUAGCAUGUAGCGGUGAAAUGCUUAGAUAUGCUACAGAACACCGAUUGCGAAGGCAGCUUACUAGACUGUUACUGACGCUAAGGCACGAAAGCGUGGGGAGCGAACAGG
Molecule: ribosomal RNA, 253 nt
Filed under: uncultured bacterium
Lineage: Bacteria
Description: partial 16S ribosomal RNA
Rfam family: Bacterial small subunit ribosomal RNA
Source: RNAcentral